This 472-nucleotide ribosomal RNA is filed under the name uncultured bacterium. RNAcentral describes it as "bacterial SSU rRNA". It matches the Rfam family "Bacterial small subunit ribosomal RNA", at positions 355 to 825 of the family's 1533-position model. The record is from RNAcentral.
UGGGGAAUAUUGCGCAAUGGGCGAAAGCCUGACCCAGCAACGCCGCGUGAGUGAAGAAGGCCUUCGGGUUGUAAAGCUCUUUCGGCGGGGACGAAACGGUUCGUGACAACACCACGGACUAAUGACGGUACCCGCAUAAGAAGCACCGGCUAACUACGUGCCAGCAGCCGCGGUAAUACGUAGGGUGCAGGCGUUAAUCGGAAUUACUGGGCGUAAAGCGUGCGCAGGCGGUUUGUUAAGACAGGUGUGAAAUCCCCGGGCUUAACCUGGGAAUUGCGCUUGUAACUGGCAGGCUAGAGUGUGGCAGAGGGGGGUGGAAUUCCACGUGUAGCAGUGAAAUGCGUAGAUGUGUGGAGGAACACCGAUGGCGAAGGCAGCCCCCUGGGUUAACACUGACGCUCAUGCACGAAAGCGUGGGGAGCAAACAGGAUUAGAUACCCGGGUAGUCCCUGAGCGGGCUGGCAAGGCGCAU